Non-coding RNA from Meleagris gallopavo (turkey), 837 nucleotides. The record is from RefSeq and is a predicted model, not a curated record. NCBI's taxonomy places the organism in Eukaryota, Metazoa, Chordata, Aves, Galliformes, Phasianidae.
AAGGCAAGGUAGAUCAAUCAGCCUUUGGAAAUCCAAGGCUGUUUCAUCUUGCUGACUGCAAGGAAUUCACUGGAAGAGGGUAGGUGCAGGCACUCAGACCAAUCCCACCUGGGCUCUGACCUUCCAGCUAGCUCAGCAGUGCUUCCUAGCAUCUGUGCCUCUUUCCUGGCAGCCAAUGACCUCAGCUCUGACUUUAGCAACUGCCCUCUUUACCUCUGCCUGAUAAAAGUGCCCCAUACAAUACUCCUACUAUGAUAACAUAAAUAGAACCCUAUUCAUGAUGCCUCAACAGUAUAGACUACCACACGCAUAACAAGCCCGUUCCUUGUCUUCUAUGCUUACUUCCUGAAGAAUCCCAAAGAACAUACGAUUCCUCCAUUUAGUGCAGCUGAAAAACCGACCAAAUGCUCAGAAGUGAUAACUGCAACAAUAACAUCAUUCCUCAGACACUCUGGAGCCUAUUAGAGUGAACUUUGUUUGUAUAGGAAACUAGGGUAAUGCAGCACUGCAAAACAAUCUUCACUCUCUUCUGCUCCAACCACGAAGCUGCGAGCUUCUACCUGCCAUCUCCAUACAUGGAAGGGAAGAGAAGCACACACAGUUCAAAAUAUGCAGAAAACCUCCACCCAUCAAGGCAGACCUCCAAAGUCUGUGUGCAGUAAGACAACGAACGGGGUUUACUUAUCUCCACGGAGCUUGGAAAAGGGUGAAGAUCAGUGGGCCAUAUUCUACAGCCCUUAUUCAGUUGCCUCUCUGUGUUUUACUGCCUAAGUCUGGGAGACAUCAGUGAGGAAGCUUCUUUCAGCCAGAAAAGAUGAAUAAAGACUUCAAAAAAUA